RNA transcript from Anguilla anguilla (European eel), 2273 nucleotides. It is a transcript of the gene named centriolin-like, with no coding region annotated. The record is from RefSeq and is a predicted model, not a curated record. The transcript is spliced from 9 exons. NCBI's taxonomy places the organism in Eukaryota, Metazoa, Chordata, Actinopteri, Anguilliformes, Anguillidae.
CAAUGAUGCCAGAUGGCAUGCAUCAGGUAAUAUAGCACACUUCCUAAAGUGCCGCCAGAUUUUUUAAAACAUCGAGUCUGGGACGACUUCUUGAAUGAGCAGCUAGCUGUAGGGUUGCUAUGGAAACUCUGUUAAUCAAAUUCCCUUACACCCUCUGAGGGUCGUUUAGUCCUUAACGACCGAUCUAAGCCAUAGGACUUAGAGUGUUUGCAGCUUCAUAGAUGAAGAAGGCUGCAUCACCGAGAGUGACGCCCUGGGGAGGAACACGAUCAGACCCUAGCAUGCUGGGCCCUGGUUCAUCGCUCUCCAACCCCCGUAGCAGGACUCCAUCCCCCUCCCAUGGCCUGCGUUCCGCAGCCUCUCGGCCCGGCUUGGGGAGCAGUCUUCAGCUGAGUAUGACGGAGGAGGAAAGCCAAGAUGGUGCAGACGGAGAACCCCGCAGCGAAAAUGAUGAAAGGAGAAGUCCAGGUGUUCGCUACAUCACGGAGGACCUGAUUAAGAGGGUGUCCAAGCAGGACAGCCUGGCCUUUGUACGGUCCCUCAACUUGUCACUGGCAAAGAGUGGCAGCAAGAAAUUCAAGUUUAUCGAGAACCUGGAGAAGUGUGAACGGUUGCAGGUCCUCAACCUCAAUCACAACCUCAUCGAGAAAAUCGAGAAGCUGGAAAAGCUUCACAGACUUCGAGAACUCCACCUGUCCCACAACAGAAUCCGAAAAAUUGAGGGCCUGGAGCACAUGGGAAGCCUUCAGCUCUUGAAUCUCGCUGGAAACAACAUCGAGCACCUUCCUCUGUGGCUGGCUAAGAGACUGCGAUCCCUGAACACGCUUAACCUGCAGGGUAACAACAUCUGCUCGCUACACGAGCUGUUGAAGCUGAAGCCACUGAAGAACCUGACGGAGUUACUGCUGAUGGAGAACCCGGUGUUCAACCUUCCCCACUACCGCCUCUUCCUGGUCUUUCAUCUGAGGACGCUCGAGAGGCUAGAUGGGCAGGUCAUCACCCAGCAGGAGCGGGAGCUGGCCUACCAGCGCUUCCAUAUGGAGGAGGUGGAGCGGCUGGAGCAGGACCUGGAGGCACGGCGAGGAGAGGUGGAGAGCCUACGGGAGGAGCAGUCCAUCGCACUGCAGGAGCUGGAGCAGCAGGGGGCGCUCAACCAAAGCCUGAAGCUCCAGUGCCAGGAACAGAAGCAAUGCCAGGCUGAGCUGGAGAGAGAGCUGGAGACCAAGAACCAGCUGGUGGGGCAGAUAGUCAAUUCAGACUUGAAUUCAGACGUAUACACAUACAUGUGUGGCUAACUGGUUAGGGGGCAACUCAGUCUGCGUACGAAUGCAUGCUCACACAUUAAACACGCACCCCUUCGCAUUCACAAAUACACUUACAUCUGCUUACAUGGUGCGAAUGUCCUUGCAUGUCUCAUUUGUCAUGACAAAGAACAUACAGAGGAUUUUAAUGUGGUUGUGUUUCAUUAUAGACAAUAUUUUUCUUAACGGUACACUGUAAAUCAGAUUCUCCUACUUGUUCCCGAGGGACCUCGUGUAUGCUUGUCUUUGUUGCAGUUACUGUCAUGGUCAAUUAUGGUUGUCUAAAAUGUUUUUUUUUUUCUUGAACUUAUCAGCAUGGUGCUGAGCUGGAUCCUUGGAAUUUCUUUUGUCUUUGAACUCAUUUCAUUUUCCACAAAAGGUCUAGUUUCAGUGACCAGACAUCUACGCUUGCAGUUAUUCGGUCCCCACCUAUUUGGCCUGUCAGACUAUAAUUUAUUCAAUUCAAAUGUAAUCUCAUUAUAAUGAAUCAUUUUUCAUCUAGCAGAUUACAUAACAUUAGAUCAUUAGUCAAUCUGAAAGUCCAGGAAUGUGAAUAUGGGACUUUUACUCUUUGUGGCAUCCAUGGCCAUUUGUGACAUAAUGUGAUUUAGAGUAAAUCAGAACCCUAUUCUGUGACCUCUAACCAGGACAUCGUACUUCCUCUUAUGACUUUUCUCUCCCAAUCCCCCCCUCUUUCCUUUAUCUGUCCUUUCCCAACCCUUCCUCUAUGGUCUCCUCUCCAUUACUCCUAUUCUUUACUCUCCUUUCCCUGUAGUUGCUUUCCUGCUCACUAGUAAUUCCUUAUACAGCAGCUCUGUCCUCCCUGCUGCAGCCCGCGCGUCCUGAUCCUGUUCUGGAUGCCGUCUGGAAGCUGAAGCAGAAGAUGAUGGAGCUGACCCGAGCCUGUCAGAAGCAGUAUGAGCUGGAGCAGGAGCUGGCCUUCCACAAGUAUUGUUGACCUCAGAAUGAUGG